GAUGAACGCUGGCGGCGUGCUUAACACAUGCCAGUCGAACGGAAAGGCUCCUGCUUGCAGGGGUACUCGAGUGGCGAACGGGUGAGUAACACGUGGGUGAUCUGCCCUGCACUUCGGGAUAAGCCUGGGAAACUGGGUCUAAUACCGGAUAGGACGAUGGUUUGGAUGCCAUUGUGGAAAGUUUUUUCGGUGUGGGAUGAGCUCGCGGCCUAUCAGCUUGUUGGUGGGGUAAUGGCCUACCAAGGCGUCGACGGGUAGCCGGCCUGAGAGGGUGUACGGCCACAUUGGGACUGAGAUACGGCCCAGACCCCUACGGGAGGCAGCAGUGGGGAAUAUUGCACAAUGGGCGCAAGCCUGAUGCAGCGACGCCGCGUGGGGGAUGACGGCCUUCGGGUUGUAAACUCCUUUCGCUAGGGACGAAGCGCAAGUGACGGUACCUGGAGAAGAAGCACCGGCUAACUACGUG
This 466-nucleotide ribosomal RNA is filed under the name uncultured bacterium. RNAcentral's name for it is "partial 16S ribosomal RNA". It matches the Rfam family "Bacterial small subunit ribosomal RNA", at positions 28 to 507 of the family's 1533-position model. The record is from RNAcentral.